GCCCUGGUAGCUCAGUGGAUAGAGCAACCGCCUCCUAAGCGGUAGGUCGCAGGUUCGACUCCUGCUCAGGGCGCCA
Molecule: transfer RNA, 76 nt
Filed under: Pseudomonadales bacterium
Lineage: Bacteria; Pseudomonadati; Pseudomonadota; Gammaproteobacteria; Pseudomonadales
Also listed under: 7 other names
Description: tRNA-Arg
Rfam family: tRNA
About the family: Transfer RNA (tRNA) molecules are approximately 80 nucleotides in length. Their secondary structure includes four short double-helical elements and three loops (D, anti-codon, and T loops). Further hydrogen bonds mediate the characteristic L-shaped molecular structure. tRNAs have two regions of fundamental functional importance: the anti-codon, which is responsible for specific mRNA codon recognition, and the 3' end, to which the tRNAs corresponding amino acid is attached (by aminoacyl-tRNA synthetases). tRNAs cope with the degeneracy of the genetic code in two manners: having more than one tRNA (with a specific anti-codon) for a particular amino acid; and 'wobble' base-pairing, i.e. permitting non-standard base-pairing at the 3rd anti-codon position.
Source: RNAcentral